Molecule: long non-coding RNA, 423 nt
Filed under: Capsicum annuum
Lineage: Eukaryota; Viridiplantae; Streptophyta; Magnoliopsida; Solanales; Solanaceae
Description: long non-coding RNA (CANN_LNC003231)
Source: RNAcentral
UGACUCUGAUAACGAACAUCGUGACUCCCUUGUCUGGCAUACGGGCAAUCUCUGAGCCUGUGGCCAAACUUGCCAACACCAAUGAAACCUCUUUGUCCAGCCAUACACUCUACGGGAUGCGUCCUACCACACUCAGCACAUGGGGGAUAGAUAGGUCUAUUACUCAUGCUGUCCUAAAAUCUAGACGAAGUAGGCUUAUUACCCUGUUUCUAUCUGAUUUUUUAUGCGGGAGCACUAGCUGAUAAAGGUACUGGCACAAAAAAACAGCUCUAGAACUGAGGGAAGAUCCCUUUCAAAAAUCUAGUCUGACUAUACCCCUGCUGGUUUGAUCUGAUUCUCUUAUUCCCCCACACACUCUCUCUCUCCUUCACCUUAGCCACUUUAAUCUGUUGAACAUAUAUCAUUAAUCUAGAAAGAUCCAUG